Cyprinus carpio carpio is the source of this 467-nucleotide long non-coding RNA. Lineage: Eukaryota; Metazoa; Chordata; Actinopteri; Cypriniformes; Cyprinidae. The record is from Ensembl.
CAUGACGCUCGUGCACAACAGCGCCUCGUAAACCUGUCAGCUGAGCUCGUGCACAACAGCGCCUCAAAUAUAAGCCCAGUGGCCUGACAUCUGAGCUCGUGCGCAUGAGAGGCCGCCGCGAUUCCAGCCAAUCAGAGAGCAGGAAGCAAGGCCAUCGUUCCCAUAGACUAGACAUAGCCGGCGGGAGGAAACCGGGACAGAGCAGCGUAAUCAAUUAAUUUAUAUCCUCCUCCAGCCUGCGUCUCUGGCAGAAGGUCUGAAGGAUUUGUCUUCUAUUCGUCUGAGGUCGAAUAAAUUUUCCAUUGAACUUCAAGACGUCAGUUAUGAGUGUUCAGAUGGUGUGAAUGUGAGUGCUGAAGUGUGUUGGUCUGAUGAUCAGCACCAUGGACAGAGACUCAGAAAUGCUUCAGUGGAAAUAUGAAAACCAACAACAGUUCACUGGUGCUUCUGCUUGCGUCCAAAUACCC